AGUGAACGCUGGCGGUAGGCCUAACACAUGCAAGUCGAACGGCAGCACAGGAGAGCUUGCUCUCUGGGUGGCGAGUGGCGGACGGGUGAGGAAUACAUCGGAAUCUACUUUUUCGUGGGGGAUAACGUAGGGAAACUUACGCUAAUACCGCAUACGACCUACGGGUGAAAGCAGGGGAUCUUCGGACCUUGCGCGAUUGAAUGAGCCGAUGUCGGAUUAGCUAGUUGGCGGGGUAAAGGCCCACCAAGGCGACGAUCCGUAGCUGGUCUGAGAGGAUGAUCAGCCACACUGGAACUGAGACACGGUCCAGACUCCUACGGGAGGCAGCAGUGGGGAAGAUUGGACAAUGGGCGCAAGCCUGAUCCAGCCAUACCGCGUGGGUGAAGAAGGCCUUCGGGUUGUAAAGCCCUUUUGUUGGGAAAGAAAUCCAGCCGGCUAAUACCUGGUUGGGAUGACGGUACCCAAAGAAUAAGCACCGGCUAACUUCGUGCCAGCAGCCGCCGUAA
This 506-nucleotide ribosomal RNA is filed under the name uncultured bacterium. RNAcentral's name for it is "partial 16S ribosomal RNA". It matches the Rfam family "Bacterial small subunit ribosomal RNA", at positions 29 to 523 of the family's 1533-position model. The record is from RNAcentral.